RNAcentral lists this long non-coding RNA (739 nucleotides) under Pan troglodytes (chimpanzee). RNAcentral describes it as "long non-coding RNA NONPTRT014512". Lineage: Eukaryota; Metazoa; Chordata; Mammalia; Primates; Hominidae. The record is from RNAcentral.
GCAUGGGACGAAGCAAAGAUGAGUACCAAGACAAAGAAAAAUCAAAGUCUUGUUUCUUACCAAUGCCACUAUUUCUGUUCUCAAUUCCAGCAGCUUCUUUUCGUUCAAUGAAUACUGAAAUAAACACGUAACAUGGGUCAGAUUCUGAUCUACUCCUCUCUCUUCUCCUUCUCUGGUGCCUUAAAUAUUCUGGUCUCAGUACCUCCUAGAAUACGUAACACCAGAAAGUCACCUCUGGGAUUAAGUAGCCUACCUGCUUCUUUGUAUCUGUUACUUGAGGUUUCUUUUUUUUUUUUCAUAGAGAUGGGGCUUUGCCAUGUUGCCCAGGCUGGUCUCAAACUUCUGAGCUCGAGCCAUCUGCCCACCUCGGCCUCCCAAGGUGCUGGGAUUACAAGCAUGACCUGCCGUGCUGGCUAAAGUUUCUUAUUUAUACUUACUCAUUCCUCUAAUAUCUGGAUUUCCUACUACCUGAGUCUCAACAAAAGACAGAAAAGGUAUGAAGUUGGGGAAAAAAUAGCUGCCAAGGAUUAUUGCUUGAGGAAACAGUGGGAGUGAAGGAAUGAAAGCACUUCUCCAGGGGACCUCCUAAGGACCACCUCACCUGCCCCAGAACUCUACUGGACUGCCCCAUGUGUCAGGGAGCUCGAAAACACCUGAGUCUGGAAUGACUUGUGAAGAGUGACAGGGUUACUCUAGACCUAAAUUCCUUGUUUCUAGUAAGAAAAUAAUCAUUCAUGUA